This 1607-nucleotide ribosomal RNA is filed under the name Escherichia coli. RNAcentral's name for it is "partial 23S ribosomal RNA". It matches the Rfam family "Bacterial large subunit ribosomal RNA", at positions 253 to 1884 of the family's 2925-position model. The record is from RNAcentral. Lineage: Bacteria; Pseudomonadati; Pseudomonadota; Gammaproteobacteria; Enterobacterales; Enterobacteriaceae.
GCGAACGGGGAGGAGCCCAGAGCCUGAAUCAGUGUGUGUGUUAGUGGAAGCGUCUGGAAAGGCGCGCGAUACAGGGUGACAGCCCCGUACACAAAAAUGCACAUGCUGUGAGCUCGAUGAGUAGGGCGGGACACGUGGUAUCCUGUCUGAAUAUGGGGGGACCAUCCUCCAAGGCUAAAUACUCCUGACUGACCGAUAGUGAACCAGUACCGUGAGGGAAAGGCGAAAAGAACCCCGGCGAGGGGAGUGAAAAAGAACCUGAAACCGUGUACGUACAAGCAGUGGGAGCACGCUUAGGCGUGUGACUGCGUACCUUUUGUAUAAUGGGUCAGCGACUUAUAUUCUGUAGCAAGGUUAACCGAAUAGGGGAGCCGAAGGGAAACCGAGUCUUAACUGGGCGUUAAGUUGCAGGGUAUAGACCCGAAACCCGGUGAUCUAGCCAUGGGCAGGUUGAAGGUUGGGUAACACUAACUGGAGGACCGAACCGACUAAUGUUGAAAAAUUAGCGGAUGACUUGUGGCUGGGGGUGAAAGGCCAAUCAAACCGGGAGAUAGCUGGUUCUCCCCGAAAGCUAUUUAGGUAGCGCCUCGUGAAUUCAUCUCCGGGGGUAGAGCACUGUUUCGGCAAGGGGGUCAUCCCGACUUACCAACCCGAUGCAAACUGCGAAUACCGGAGAAUGUUAUCACGGGAGACACACGGCGGGUGCUAACGUCCGUCGUGAAGAGGGAAACAACCCAGACCGCCAGCUAAGGUCCCAAAGUCAUGGUUAAGUGGGAAACGAUGUGGGAAGGCCCAGACAGCCAGGAUGUUGGCUUAGAAGCAGCCAUCAUUUAAAGAAAGCGUAAUAGCUCACUGGUCGAGUCGGCCUGCGCGGAAGAUGUAACGGGGCUAAACCAUGCACCGAAGCUGCGGCAGCGACGCUUAUGCGUUGUUGGGUAGGGGAGCGUUCUGUAAGCCUGUGAAGGUGUGCUGUGAGGCAUGCUGGAGGUAUCAGAAGUGCGAAUGCUGACAUAAGUAACGAUAAAGCGGGUGAAAAGCCCGCUCGCCGGAAGACCAAGGGUUCCUGUCCAACGUUAAUCGGGGCAGGGUGAGUCGACCCCUAAGGCGAGGCCGAAAGGCGUAGUCGAUGGGAAACAGGUUAAUAUUCCUGUACUUGGUGUUACUGCGAAGGGGGGACGGAGAAGGCUAUGUUGGCCGGGCGACGGUUGUCCCGGUUUAAGCGUGUAGGCUGGUUUUCCAGGCAAAUCCGGAAAAUCAAGGCUGAGGCGUGAUGACGAGGCACUACGGUGCUGAAGCAACAAAUGCCCUGCUUCCAGGAAAAGCCUCUAAGCAUCAGGUAACAUCAAAUCGUACCCCAAACCGACACAGGUGGUCAGGUAGAGAAUACCAAGGCGCUUGAGAGAACUCGGGUGAAGGAACUAGGCAAAAUGGUGCCGUAACUUCGGGAGAAGGCACGCUGAUAUGUAGGUGAAGUCCCUCGCGGAUGGAGCUGAAAUCAGUCGAAGAUACCAGCUGGCUGCAACUGUUUAUUAAAAACACAGCACUGUGCAAACACGAAAGUGGACGUAUACGGUGUGACGCCUGCCCGGUGCCGGAAGGUUAAUUGA